RNAcentral lists this long non-coding RNA (361 nucleotides) under Gossypium barbadense (sea-island cotton). RNAcentral's name for it is "long non-coding RNA (GBAR_LNC021388)". Lineage: Eukaryota; Viridiplantae; Streptophyta; Magnoliopsida; Malvales; Malvaceae. The record is from RNAcentral.
GAACUCAAUAAUCCCUCUCGUUUCAGUCUUCAAUCCAAAAUAACGAUGCUGCUCUCCGCUAGCGAAUAGGUGUCUCCCUGGCCAUGACGGAAUGUCCUUACACACCUCCAGAACCACAUCUGAAACCCCAAAUAUGUGUAAGUUUCUUAAGGUAGUCAACAAUUUCUUAUACAUUAGCAUUGACAACAUCAUCUUCAUGUUAUUGCAACUUACUCUUUUUCUUUUUGGUGAAUGUCCCAGCAACAUGCUUGCUCUUCAUCUUCAAAAUCACCUUCAAAGUGAGAUGAUUUUGAUGUUAGUGAAAUUGUUUAGGAUAAAAUUCAAUCAGAUAUAAAUGGUGAUGUGUUGCGACUAAAGCAAU